UCUACGGGAGGCAGCAGUGGGGGAUAUUGCACAAUGGGGGAAACCCUGAUGCAGCGACGCCGCGUGUGGGAAGACGGUCCUCUGGAUUGUAAACCACUGUCCCCAGGGACGAAGAUGACGGUACCUGGGGAGGAAGCUCCGGCUAACUACGUGCCAGCAGCCGCGGUAAUACGUAGGGAGCGAGCGUUGUCCGGAAUUACUGGGUGUAAAGGGAGCGUAGGCGGGACUGCAAGUUGGGUGUCAAAUCUACCGGCUCAACCGGUAGCCGCACUCAAAACUGCAGUUCUUGAGUGACGUAGAGGCAGGCGGAAUUCCUAGUGUAGCGGUGAAAUGCGUAGAUAUUAGGAGGAACACCAGGGGCGAAGGCGGCCUGCUGGGCUUUUACUGACGCUGAGGCUCGAAAGUGUGGGGAGCAAACAGGAUUAGAUACCCCAGUAGUC
RNAcentral lists this ribosomal RNA (440 nucleotides) under uncultured bacterium. Its description in RNAcentral is "partial 16S ribosomal RNA". It matches the Rfam family "Bacterial small subunit ribosomal RNA", at positions 338 to 795 of the family's 1533-position model. The record is from RNAcentral.